GACGAACGCUGGCGGCGUGCUUAACACAUGCAAGUCGAACGGAAAGGCCCCUUUGGGGGUCCUCGAGUGGCGAACGGGUGAGUAACACGUGCGUAACCUGCCCUUGACUUCGGGAUAACUUCAGGAAACUGGGGCUAAUACCGGAUAGGAAUCCUUGCUGCAUGGUGGGGGUUGGAAAGCUUCGGCGGUUUUGGAUGGACUCGCGGCUUAUCAGCUUGUUGGUGGGGUAGUGGCUUACCAAGGCGUUGACGGGUAGCCGGCCUGAGAGGGCGACCGGCCACAUUGGGACUGAGAUACGGCCCCGACUCCUACGGGUGGCAGCAGUGGGGAAUAUUGCACAAUGGGCGGAAGCCUGAUGCAGCAACGCCGCGUGCGGGAUGACGGCCUUCGGGUUGUAAACCGCUUUCAGCAGGGGCGAAGCUUGUGGUGACGGUACCUGCAGAAGAAGCACCGGCUAACUACGUG
RNAcentral lists this ribosomal RNA (465 nucleotides) under uncultured bacterium. Its description in RNAcentral is "partial 16S ribosomal RNA". It matches the Rfam family "Bacterial small subunit ribosomal RNA", at positions 28 to 507 of the family's 1533-position model. The record is from RNAcentral.